UUGUUUUCUUAGCCUGCCUACUUUACUUUCACAGGAGAUCUAACAAUUAAAACUAAAUGUAGGUGGCUAUCAAAAUGAUUUUGGGGUAACCUGAGUAUAAAGAACAAAAAAAAAAAAUUCAUUCGCUCAUAUCAAUGUGAAAAUUUUACUUUAUCCUCCCAGCAGGCAUCUGGUUUGCAUGGAAACCUUUAAUCUUUUUCCAGUUAUUUCUCGGGAGAAGUUGAUUAAAUCUGAAAGGACUUUUACUCUUGUCCUCCACUGUGAAUAUGAGGGGAAAAGUGGGUGUAUGUGGGUGUAUGUGAGGCACAAGUCCUCAUUAGCAAACUGAGCAUGUUACUUUUGCCUCAAAGGAAUGUUUUAAAAAGCUUUGCACAAAUGUCUCUCAAUGAGGAAAAAAAUAAGCAAAGCCUAAAACUUGAAAUGGCUCCUCCCCUCGUGUCCUACUUUCCUUGUCCUUUUGUGUGCUGACAGCUCAGUUCCCUUCAGUUUUCUCACUCAAAGGAGACUGUACAUCUGUCCAAAAUGGCUGUGCGAUUAUUUGAAGGCAAAGAACAUGCAAACUCAUACUGGAAGUAUCGCAUUUCACCCUCAGAAGAGCUCAUUGGCAAAGUUCUGCAAUUUCACAGGAAUAAUGAAUAUUCAUCUAAUGGCCUGGCAGUAGAUGUUGGCUGCGGGUCAGGACAGGGAACGUUGCUCUUGGCACCACAUUUUACACGUGUGGUUGGGACAGAUAUUAGUCCAGCUCAGCUGGAAAUGGGAAGGAAACAUGUUAACAUUCCAAACGUUUCUUUCAGGGAGAGUCCAGCUGAAGAACUGCCCUUUGAAGAUGGCUCUGUAGAUCUUGUGACGGCCAUGUCUGCGUUCCACUGGUUUGACCAUUCACGUUUUCUUCAGGAGGCCGACAGAGUGCUCAAACCUCAUGGCUGCCUCGCACUUCUCAACUACACACUGGACAUGGAGCUAACUUAUGGAAACUGUUCAGAAGCAUUAAACCUCAUUUGUAAUGAGGUGCCCUAAUGUGCAUCUCCUGCUUCAACCUGCAAUUCACUUUUUUAUGCAGCUCUGCAUCCUUUACGGGAUCCUCAUCUGGGUCCCAGCUCUUUUGAACUGUACAAAAGAACAUAUGACUCUCUGCAGUACCCAGUCAAAGAAUGGCAUGAUAUGUUUGGGGUGAAGAAGGCAGUCCCUCUCUCUGGCUACAUUGGCAUGGUGAAGUCUUUCUCCACAUUUCAGACACUCCUAAAAAAAGAUCCAGAAGAGGCCAGACGGCUCUCGCAGGACAUUGAAGAUAGACUGAAGCGUGCGAUGGACGUGACAUCCUCAGAGACAGAAGUUAUCAUGGGAGUUAAAUACUUUUAUUUUCUGGCACAAAAGCCUGCAAAUGAUUGAUGCCUCAUUUACUGUAGAUGAACAGACCUUAGUAUUAAUCAUACAUUAAUUCCUGAUGUGAUUGACUCACUAAUUUCCAUAACAUUACGUUUUGUAACCUUCAAAUUAAAGCAAUAAAUUAUCUUCAGCAAGUA
Danio rerio (zebrafish) is the source of this 1523-nucleotide non-coding RNA. The record is from RefSeq and is a predicted model, not a curated record. NCBI's taxonomy places the organism in Eukaryota, Metazoa, Chordata, Actinopteri, Cypriniformes, Danionidae.